AGCCAAGCAGAAAGAUCAAAGACGAUAACCAGGAAGCAUGAAGAGCUGCGCCGGGUCUCCACAAGAGCGAAAGAAAACAACAACAAAACCCAAACCAGAGCUGGAAAGCUGACCCUGACUCCUACUGAUGGCACCAUUGGCUGGAGCAGUGCUGGAGAGCUCACCCUGGUGGUGGGGAUCCAGAAAGCUGGGGUGCUGACCAGCUCAGCUAUCAUCCAGGCCCAGAUUCAGUCCUCUGCUGAGUUGACCCACCCCAAAAUCUACCUCACCUGUGAACUACUGGAGUGUGUGAAAGGGUAGGACCUGCUAAUCCAAAACUGGAGGAUCUCCAUGAUACAGGACACCAAAAGGAUAUCCAGGAGGAGUCCCAGUGAGGAUUCAAUGUUGAUGGUGUCACCAAAGCCAGAGACCUUAGACCAGACCAGUGACUCAUUGCAAUGAAUAUACGCAAGGGAAGAUGUGUGGACAGAGGGGUAUUCUGUGGGGGCACAUUGUGACACAGUAUAGAUUGUAUGAUGAGAUGUUUUUUAUGCUUUGUUUUGUUUAUUUUUUGUUUAUAUCUUUUUAUUUCCUUUCGGGGGAGGGGGUUUGCAAGGGUGGAGGGUGAGCACAAGGGGACAGGGAAUACAAAAAUAAAAAACCACAAUCCAUUCUUCUUCCUAUUGGGGAACUAUUAGAGAAAGCUAGCACAGUCACGUAUGGAGUCCUAGGGAUACAGCCAUGAAUAGACUUGGAACUUCCUUUAAAUGGGAGUUGAGAAGACUAUCAUCAAACAUCUAAGGUUAUUUCAAUCAGUCUUGGAAACCAGGCUCACUUUCUUUUUCCUACAUGGCUGUGUAAGCUGGCUGAUCAUCGUCUCUCAAGUUGCUUUACCAUAUAGCUAUCUGGAGGAAAGACUGUAGAAUUUUAAUUCUCAAGGGCAAUGACAAAAUUAGAGUCACACACUCUGCCUUAAAUGACACCAACUCCAUCCUAUACCAUAGGUAAUAAUGAAAUGUUGAUUGUAGUAGGGCCAAAAGGAUACAACCAAUACAAUUUAUUAUGUAAAUUUAUUGGUAUUCCAUUUGUGUUGUAUGUACACAUGUAUAUGUGUGGAUCCAGAGGCUUGCCUGGUGGCCUGCCCUAUCACUCUCCCUUCAUUCCAUUGACACUCUGUCUCUUACUGAACCAAAAGCUAAGCUGCUAUCUCUGUUUCCCACAGUUGGAGUUAGACAAAGGGUGUCUGGCUACACUCAGCUUUUGACAUGCAUGUUGAGGACUUGAACUUGUGUCCUCAUGCACAGGUCUCUCUCAGCACUCUUACUUGCUGAGCCCUCACCCUAGUGAGAGGCCACAUUUUUGCUUAUCAAUCAUAGCCAUUGUAUUGUUUUCUAUUUUUGUGCAUUAUAUGCUGUGAGAAGAAGCUGACUCAAGCAUACUUGCCAAAUAGCUGUCUCUUGAGGAUUCUUCCAGUAUUUACCACUCCUUAAGCACGCACAUAGCCUUGGGAGCUUCCAGUAAGAACUGUUUUAUUUAUUUAUUUAUUUAUUUUAGAUAUUAUUUAUGGUGGAGGAAAGAAGGACACAGAUUAAUACCAGAGGUCUAACACAGGUUAAUACUCUGGUCUGCUUAGACCAGAGUCAAAAAGGUUGGCUUAGGGAAUAUAACAAAAAAAAGAACAGAAAAAAAUAUGGAAGAGCUGGACAAUGCACUACAAUGUCUUCUAGACAAGACAAGGCAAUUACGCUCAUGAACUCACAACACUUGCACAAGACCUGCCUGGGAUUGGGCCCAUCAAUAUUCCAUCUUGGAAGGAGGAGGGGCUUAUGAGGCCCAUCCUCCUUAAAGUUGGGGUGGGGGAGGAGGAACUACUUCCUUUAGUGGUAUAGCUGCUGAUCAGUAGUCCAUGCUCUUUUAAGUAAUCUCCCAUUAAUGCUCAUGCCAACCACCUUAGUUCAACCCAGUGAAACACACACAUACAAACAACAUGAAAGCAGAAAGAAGAGGUGUUGGGAAGAAGGGUCUCAAUGGGAAAGAGAGGGUGAAAGUGGUGGAAACAACCUUCAUUAUACACAGGUAAGAAAGGAACUGUCAAAUGUAAAUGGUUUUCAAAAGUACUUUAUUGGAUGUUUUCCUUCCUAUAAAUAACUGCCUUGAGAACCUCAUUGGAAGAUGUAUCUUCUUUUAGUA
RNAcentral lists this long non-coding RNA (2169 nucleotides) under Mus musculus (house mouse). Its description in RNAcentral is "predicted gene 45650". The record is from RNAcentral. Lineage: Eukaryota; Metazoa; Chordata; Mammalia; Rodentia; Muridae.